GUAAAGCGUCCGCAGGCGGCUUUUCAAGUCUGCUGUUAAAGCGUGGAGCUUAACUCCAUCAUGGCAGUGGAAACUGAAAGGCUUGAGUAUGGUAGGGGCAGAGGGAAUUCCCGGUGUAGCGGUGAAAUGCGUAGAUAUCGGGAAGAACACCAGUGGCGAAGGCGCUCUGCUGGGCCAUUACUGACGCUCAUGGACGAAAGCCAGGGGAGCGAAAGGGAUUAGAUACCCCUGUAGUCCUGGCCGUAAACGAUGAACACUAGGUGUCGGGGGAAUCGACCCCUUCGGUGUCGUAGCUAACGCGUUAAGUGUUCCGCCUGGGGAGUACGCACGCAAGUGUGAAACUCAAAGGAAUUGACGGGGGCCCGCACAAGCGGUGGAGUAUGUGGUUUAAUUCGAUGCAACGCGAAGAACCUUACCAGGGUUUGACAUCCUGCGAACCUCUUAGAAAUUUGAGGGUGCCUUCGGGAAUGCAGUGACAGGUGGUGCAUGGCUGUCGUCAGCUCGUGUCGUGAGAUGUUGGGUUAAGUCCCGCAACGAGCGCAACCCACGUUUUUAGUUGCCAGCAUUUAGUUGGGCACUCUAGAAAGACCGCCGGUGAUAAACCGGAGGAAGGUGUGGAUGACGUCAAGUCAUCAUGCCCCUUACACCCUGGGCUACACACGUACUACAAUGCUACGGACAAAGGGCAGCAAACUCGCGAGAGCUAGCAAAUCCCAUAAACCGUGGCUCAGUUCAGAUCGUAGGCUGCAACUCGCCUACGUGAAGUAGGAAUCGCUAGUAAUCGCAGGUCAGCAUACUGCGGUGAAUACGUUCCCGGGCCUUGUACACACCGCCCGUCACACCAUGGAAGUUGGCCAUGCCCGAAGUCGUUACUCCAACCCUUGUGGAGGAGGACGCCGAAGGUGGGGCUAAUGACUGGGGUGAAGUCGUAACAAGGUAGCCGUA
This 945-nucleotide ribosomal RNA is filed under the name uncultured bacterium. RNAcentral describes it as "bacterial SSU rRNA". It matches the Rfam family "Bacterial small subunit ribosomal RNA", at positions 560 to 1504 of the family's 1533-position model. The record is from RNAcentral.